Molecule: RNA transcript, 1279 nt
Organism: Hypanus sabinus (Atlantic stingray)
Lineage: Eukaryota; Metazoa; Chordata; Chondrichthyes; Myliobatiformes; Dasyatidae
Gene: pcmt1
Gene name: protein-L-isoaspartate (D-aspartate) O-methyltransferase
Exons: 9
Source: RefSeq, a predicted model, not a curated record
GUACUCCGUGACGUCAUGGAGGUGGGCGGGGACACUGAAGGGGCGUCAGCGGCUGAAGCGAUAAGCAUUGUGGGUAGAGCCGUGUGCGCAGGCGUGCUGCUGACGGUGGCCUUGUACCUGCUGCGCGCUCUGUGUCACAGCAUGGCCUGGAAAUGCGGCGGGGACAGUCAAGCGGAGCUCGUCAACAACCUGCGCAAAAAUGGAAUUAUCAAGACAGAACGGGUUUAUCAAGUAAUGUUAGCCACAGACCGUUGUCACUAUGUAAAGAGUAACCCCUACACAGAUUCCCCCCAGUCUAUAGGUUUCCAAGCUACGAUCAGUGCCCCUCAUAUGCAUGCAUAUGCCCUGGAACUGCUGCAUGAUCAAUUGUCUGAAGGAGCUAAAGCACUUGAUGUAGGUUCUGGCAGUGGAAUCCUCACAUCUUGUUUUGCACGGAUGGUUGGCCCAAGUGGAAGAGUGGUAGGGAUUGAACAUAUCAGAGAACUGGUAAACGACUCCACGACUAAUGUAAAGAAAGAUGAUGCAUCUUUGCUUUCCUCAGGAAGAGUAAAAUUUGUAGUGGGUGAUGGAAGACAAGGGUACCCAGAGGAAGCUCCUUAUGAUGCCAUUCACGUGGGAGCUGCUGCAAAUACAGUACCACAGGCACUACUUGACCAGUUAAAGCCAGGUGGGAGGAUGAUUUUACCAGUCGGCCCUCCAGGCGGAAACCAGAUGUUGGAGCAGUACGAUAAGCUAGAAAAUGGCAGCAUCAGUAAGAAGCCUCUGAUGGGAGUGAUCUACGUGCCUUUAACCGAUCAAGAAAAGCAGGUGCCAAGGUGGAAGUGAUUCUGCAUAACCCAUCUUUCUCAGAAACAAGGUGGUAACCUCAUCCUUGACAAUCGACUCCAACAACUUCCCAACCACCGAUGUCAAGCUAACAGGGAUGAAAUGUGAAGCUUCAUCUGUGUGCUCAGAACCUGACAUUAAUGUGGAGUGGAUAUCUCCUGUUCUAAAUGCUUUGAAAAAUGACAGCAUUGCAGCUUGUUUUGGACUUAUACACACACAAUCACACACUCAUACUUAAUGAUUUGUGUGGAGCAGUGUUCUUUUAAUAGUUCAACAAACUAGCCUGGGAAAAGAACUGCUGUGAAGAGUAAAAAUAAUACAUCCAGCGCUGGGAGAAGUUUUCUGAGGCUUGGUUUAGUUUUCAAACUGGCAAGAGUGAAGCUACAGCAAGGAAGGCCAGUAGAAGUGUGGUGUGGCUAGUUAACCCCCCACCCCCACCACCCCAAAUGAUAAA